Molecule: unclassified non-coding RNA, 95 nt
Organism: Cavia aperea (Brazilian guinea pig)
Lineage: Eukaryota; Metazoa; Chordata; Mammalia; Rodentia; Caviidae
Source: Ensembl
CCCUCAAGACUGCUGAGCCUGCCAGUUGCACAGAGCUGUGUCCAGAGGUUUUCUGAGCACAGUGGAUUUACAGCGAAAUUCAGCUGCCUGGGGGA